This is a small nuclear RNA of Dermacentor albipictus, 187 nucleotides long. RefSeq annotates it as U2 spliceosomal RNA. Lineage: Eukaryota; Metazoa; Arthropoda; Arachnida; Ixodida; Ixodidae. The record is from RefSeq and is a predicted model, not a curated record.
AUAGCCGAUGCGGGUCAAAGCGUGAUACCCCUUCUUAUCAGCUUAAUAUCUGAUAUGGGUUGUAUUCGUACCUAGGAUAUUGAACUUACUUUUGCAAGUUGGCGGCGUGCAAAAUUGCAGCUUUGCCGAGCAGCUUUGCCGAGGGUCGGCCCGGUAUUGCGCAAUCUUAGGGAUCGGCCCUCGUAUU